AAGUCGUAACAAGGUUUCCGUAGGUGAACCUGCGGAAGGAUCAUUACUGAGAAAAGAGGCCUCCGGGUCUCCCUCACUAAUACCCUGCCUUCCAACGAGAGCCCUCAUUGGGGGGCUCGACUUGAAGUUGGAGGGUCUGAAGAGACCCUCCGCCCCAUAUAAAAUUCUGAAUGUUUGUGCGGUCUGAGUAUAUAUUCUAAUAUAUGAAAACUUUCAACAACGGAUCUCUUGGUUCCC
This 237-nucleotide unclassified non-coding RNA is filed under the name air metagenome. RNAcentral describes it as "partial contains small subunit ribosomal RNA, internal transcribed spacer 1, and 5.8S ribosomal RNA". The stretch from base 1 to 46 matches the Rfam family "Eukaryotic small subunit ribosomal RNA", at positions 1786 to 1831 of the family's 1831-position model. The record is from RNAcentral.